AGUGAACGCUGGCGGCAGGCCUAACACAUGCAAGUCGAACGGCAGCACAGGAGAGCUUGCUCUCUGGGUGGCGAGUGGCGGACGGGUGAGGAAUAUAUCGGAAUCUACCCUUUCGUGGGGGAUAACGUAGGGAAACUUACGCUAAUACCGCAUACGAACUGAGGUUGAAAGCGGCGGACCGCAAGGCGUCGCGCGGAAGGAUGAGCCGAUAUCCGAUUAGCUAGUUGGCGGGGUAAAGGCCCACCAAGGCGACGAUCGGUAGCUGGUCUGAGAGGAGGAGCAGCCACACUGGAACUGAGACACGGUCCAGACUCCUACGGGAGUCAGCAGUGGGGAAUAUUGGACAAUGGGCGCAAGCCUGAUCCAGCCAUGCCGCGUGUGUGAAGAAGGCCUUCGGGUUGUAAAGCACUUUUGUUGGGAAAGAAAAGCGGUCGGUUAAUACCCGGUCGUUCUGACGGUACCCAAAGAAUAAGCACCGGCUAACUUCGUGCCAGCCGCCGCAGUAA
RNAcentral lists this ribosomal RNA (506 nucleotides) under uncultured bacterium. RNAcentral's name for it is "partial 16S ribosomal RNA". It matches the Rfam family "Bacterial small subunit ribosomal RNA", at positions 29 to 523 of the family's 1533-position model. The record is from RNAcentral.